CCUACGGGAGACAGCAGUGAGGAAUAUUGGUCAAUGGCCGGAAGGCUGAACCAGCCAAGCCGCGUGAAGGACGAAGGUGCCAAGCAUUGUAAACUUCUUUUGUCAAGGGACAAAAUCAGGCUCGAGAGCCUGACCGAGGGUACUUGAAGAAAAAGCAUCGGCUAACUCCGUGCCAGCAGCCGCGGUAAUACGGAGGAUGCGAGCGUUAUCCGGAUUUAUUGGGUUUAAAGGGUGCGUAGGCGGACUGUUAAGUCAGCGGUAAAAGCCCGGGGCUCAACCCCGGCGAGCCGUUGAAACUGGCAGUCUUGAGAUGUCGAGAGGUAUGCGGAAUGCGCAGUGUAGCGGUGAAAUGCUUAGAUAUUGCGCAGAACUCCGAUUGCGAAGGCAGCAUACCGGCGGCGCUCUGACGCUGAGGCACGAAAGCGUGGGUAUCGAACAGGAUUAGAUACCCGAGUAGUC
Molecule: ribosomal RNA, 459 nt
Filed under: uncultured bacterium
Lineage: Bacteria
Description: partial 16S ribosomal RNA
Rfam family: Bacterial small subunit ribosomal RNA
Source: RNAcentral